AAGACAUGAAAGAUAGUAAAAGGUCAGGUUAAGACAAACAGAUAAGAAAAUUAACCGCUCCUUGGCUAAAAGAUUCGAGAGAAUGAAAUACUUGCUGCUUUACUUUUUUAUAGCGUCAUUUGUUGUGUUAGCGAAAGGGUUUUUCCUCAAGGACACAUUGUGUGCUAACCUUGUGAACUGUUUCGUAAGUCCAUGUUUGGGUAAAACAUGUCCUGGAAACCCGGAUGCUUUGUGCAGGGCAAACUAUUGUGGAGGAUGUAAUCACAACUUCUAUGUCGGAGACCAUCAGGUAAUCUGUUGAGUUCAUGAUGAGAAACCAAAUUACAAGAAAGAAACUGAUGAGCAGAAUGAUGAAAGUUAACUUUAAUAAAUCAUUUAAAUGUG
Molecule: long non-coding RNA, 384 nt
Organism: Mytilus trossulus (common blue mussel)
Lineage: Eukaryota; Metazoa; Mollusca; Bivalvia; Mytilida; Mytilidae
Exons: 4
Source: RefSeq, a predicted model, not a curated record